This 515-nucleotide ribosomal RNA is filed under the name uncultured bacterium. RNAcentral's name for it is "partial 16S ribosomal RNA". It matches the Rfam family "Bacterial small subunit ribosomal RNA", at positions 28 to 523 of the family's 1533-position model. The record is from RNAcentral.
GAUGAACGCUGGCGGCGUGCCUAAUACAUGCAAGUCGAGCGAAUGGAUUAAGAGCUUGCUCUUAUGAAGUUAGCGGCGGACGGGUGAGUAACACGUGGGUAACCUGCCCAUAAGACUGGGAUAACUCCGGGAAACCGGGGCUAAUACUGGAUAACAUUUUGAGCCGCAUGGUUCGAAAUUGAAAGGCGGCUUCGGCUGUCACUUAUGGAUGGACCCGCGUCGCAUUAGCUAGUUGGUGAGGUAACGGCUCACCAAGGCAACGAUGCGUAGCCGCCCUGAGAGGGUGAUCGGCCACACUGGGACUGAGACACGGCCCAGACUCCUACGGGAGGCAGCAGUAGGGAAUCUUCCGCAAUGGACGAAAGUCUGACGGAGCCACGCCGCGUGAGUGAUGAAGGCUUUCGGGUCAUAAAACUCUGUUGUUAGGGAAGAACAAGUGCUAGUUGAAUAAGCUGGCACCUUGACGGUACCUAACCAGAAAGCCACGGCUAACUACGUGCCAGCAGCCGCCGUAA